Molecule: ribosomal RNA, 476 nt
Filed under: uncultured Desulfobulbus sp.
Lineage: Bacteria; Pseudomonadati; Thermodesulfobacteriota; Desulfobulbia; Desulfobulbales; Desulfobulbaceae
Description: bacterial SSU rRNA
Rfam family: Bacterial small subunit ribosomal RNA
Source: RNAcentral
GUUGACGGGGCCCGCGACAAGCGGUGGAGUAUGUGGUUAAUUCGAUGCAACGCGAAGAACUACCUGGUCUUGACAUCCCGGAGACCCUUAGGAAACUAGGGGGUGCUUCCAUCUGGAAGAAUCUGGAGACAGGUGCUGCAUGGCUGUCGUCAGCUCGUGUCGUGAGAUGUUGGGUUAAGUCCCGCAACGAGCGCAACCCUUGCCUUUAGUUGCCAGCAGUUCGGCUGGGCACUCUAAAGGGACUGCCGGUGUUAAACCGGAGGAAGGUGGGGAUGACGUCAAGUCCUCAUGGCCUUUAUGACCAGGGCUACACACGUACUACAAUGGCCGAUACAAAGGGCAGCGACACUGCGAGGUGAAGCCAAUCCCGUAAAAUCGGUCUCAGUCCGGAUUGGAGUCUGCAACUCGACUCCAUGAAGUUGGAAUCGCUAGUAAUCGUGGAUCAGCAUGCCACGGUGAAUACGUUCCCGGGCCUU